This 2212-nucleotide long non-coding RNA is filed under the name Medicago truncatula (barrel medic). RNAcentral describes it as "lncRNA gene23273". The record is from RNAcentral. Lineage: Eukaryota; Viridiplantae; Streptophyta; Magnoliopsida; Fabales; Fabaceae.
UUAUAAAGCAAACAAACAGAUUAAGCAUUAGAUAAUCUGAAACUGGAAUGAGAAGAAAAAAACACAGAACAAGUGUACUUAUAAUUCCAUUUCAUGAAGAUAAGUUAAACUCAAAAGGAAACAAAAGUAGAACACAACACCAAAUAUCUAGAACAAUAUCCAACAACAAAUCGAAAUUCAUGCAAAAGAAAGGGUCCAACAUUACGCCUUAAUGGCAUACUUUCUCACUGGGAAGUAGAUUUCCUUCUUCUUCUCACGCUCUGUCUUCAAGGAGCUCUGUAAGAAAUACCAAGUAAAUUCAUUCAGCCAUUUUAUGAAGAGAGCUUAUAUAACAGAAAUAUCAACCAUUCAUGAAAAGACAAGGCACGAAGAUAAUUCAUCGAAAACAUCAUAAGAAGCUAUUCAAAAGACAAGGCACGAAGAUAAUUCAUCGAAAACAUCAUAAGAAGCUAUUCAUGAAAAGAAGAGUCUCAAAACAACUUCACCAACAAAGAUUGGCCCUAAAAGUCAAAACAUGUAUGUACGUGCUCGGGAGCUUAAUACUCAAGUUCUAUAGUAAACAAAAGGUUUGCACAAGACAUCUGAUACUUCAGCAAGUCAUUUUAAAGUUAAAACUCCCGAUAAGAGGAAAAUAUAUCAUCUAUGCUCCAAUAAGGCACAUUGAUAAAAUAAUGCCAUUGCAGCAAAACUCUACAACAAAACCAAUUUCCCCCAGUCGCCACAAUUAUAAUUGUAACAAAGUGCAUACAAUUAAGAUCCAUAAGUAUUGUCCACAUAAACAAUUAUGAAAAAAUAAGUAAAUGGUUAGUCCUCAUUUAAUGGUACCACAUGUUGUGGCCUAAACCAUGCAAGUUCAAGCUUAAUCUUUGACUUGCUGAAGGAAUGUGGCACAACAUUACAUUCAAAUCUGCCACGUUCCAAGCUUAGGGAAGUGUUUGUCUCAAGGAGGGGAGGGCUGUGGAAAAGAGGAAGGAGCAAGUAGAAGUAAUAGAGGACUUUGGAGGAAAGAGCUUUGCGGAAUACUGUCAAAAUACCACAAUUCCUAUAUUCCACAAUAUUGUCCAUCGCAGAACACGGAAAAUAGUGGUUUUUUCAAAGUCCACUAUACUACCACGCUAUAGCACUGCAAUAGCGGCUGACAACACUUUGUACUACAACGGAUAGCAGAACAAUACACCGGUUUAUUCAAAUUCAGCUAUGCAAUAGCGCCGCUAACCGCUCUAUUUGACAACACUAAUAUUCCCAAGAAUCUACAAAGAUAACUUGAAACAAACACACCCUAAAACUAUAAUGUUUACAUUACAAUGCCAGAAGUUCAAUAUUUAAAAGACACUCCAGAGUAAUUGAUCAGAGAAGCUUCCAUCCAUCAUGAAAAUCAUUAUUUAAUUACAAUUUUCAGUUAGAGAGAAAACCACAAACUUUACAAACUAUUCACUACAUAUUGACACAUCAAUUAACUCCCCUAUCAGCUUACCAAAUAUAAGUUCGAAUUUCAUCAAAUUAUUUCAAAAAAUAUUUUAUUUUCCUUCAUAGAUAGAAACACUUAUUACAAAAUGAUAAAAAAUGUACCUGAUGCUUAGUGAGGCGUCUUCUAAUAGCUCUUGUCUUCUUGGGACGGAGAUCCAACGGCAAGUACUUCUUGGACUUAUAAGCUUCCCUUAAUGCUGUCUUUUGCUUCUGUGAAAUCACAGUCAAGACCUGUGCGAUGUUGAGCCGAACAACUUUGCUGCAUCAAAACAAUAAAAACAAUCAAAUUCAUAAAAAAAAAAAAAAAAAAAAAAACAACGAAAAUUUAUAUCAUCUACCAUACCAUAUGCAGCAAACAAAAAUCGAAAAGAAUCUGUAAUUUAUUUUGUUUGGAUCUUUUUUUGCACAAAUUCGUCCUUAUAAAAAAAAUACAAAAUGAAAAUUAAAACUAAAAUUUAGAUAAAUACACGUUUAUUUUAGUCGCUAAAUCUCAGUGAUCCACUUACAAUACUAGACCCUAGUUUGAAUUAAAACAUACAUUAUAUAAUUAAAAAAACAAAAUAUGUAUACAAUUAAGUGCAAUAGAAUAGCGGAAAAUGCAUACAUCUUGGAGAGCUUAUUUGGGGCACCUCCGGUGACCUUCGCGACGCGAAGGAGAGCAAGUUCGGCUUUCAGAUCCUUCAAUUGAUUCAGAAGAUCUUGUUUUGUUUUUUGUCUCAGCUCAUAUACCUUGACUCCAGCUAUU